This 253-nucleotide ribosomal RNA is filed under the name uncultured bacterium. Its description in RNAcentral is "partial 16S ribosomal RNA". It matches the Rfam family "Bacterial small subunit ribosomal RNA", at positions 524 to 776 of the family's 1533-position model. The record is from RNAcentral.
UACGUAGGGUGCAAGCGUUAAUCGGAAUUACUGGGCGUAAAGCGUGCGCAGGCGGUUUCGUAAGUCUGACGUGAAAGCCCCGGGCUCAACCUGGGAAUUGCGUUGGAGACUGCAAGGCUUGAAUCUGGCAGAGGGGGGUAGAAUUCCACGUGUAGCAGUGAAAUGCGUAGAGAUGUGGAGGAACACCGAUGGCGAAGGCAGCCCCCUGGGUCAAGAUUGACGCUCAUGCACGAAAGCGUGGGGAGCAAACAGG